CCUACGGGAGGCUGCAGUGAGGAAUAUUGGUCAAUGGCCGCGAGCCUGAACCAGCCAAGUAGCGUUAAGGAUGACUGUCCUAAGGAUUGUAAACUUCUUUUAUCAAGGAAUAAAGUGAGGCUCGUGAGCCUGAUUGUAUGUACUUUAUGAAUAAGGAUCGGCUAACUCCGUGCCAGCAGCCGCGGUAAUACGGAGGAUCCGAGCGUUAUCCGGAUUUAUUGGGUUUAAAGGGAGCGUAGAUGGGUCUGUAAGGCAGUUGUGAAAGUUUGCGGAUUAACCGUAAAAUUGCAAUUGAUACUGGCAGUCUUGAGUAGAGUUGAGGUAGGCGGAAUGCGGGGUGUAGCGGUGAAAUGCUUAGAUAUUACGAAGAACUCCGAUUGCGAAGGCAGCUUACUAAACUGCCACUGACAUUGAUGCUCGAAAGUGUGGGUAUCAAACAGGAUUAGAUACCCGUGUAGUC
This 460-nucleotide ribosomal RNA is filed under the name uncultured bacterium. Its description in RNAcentral is "partial 16S ribosomal RNA". It matches the Rfam family "Bacterial small subunit ribosomal RNA", at positions 338 to 795 of the family's 1533-position model. The record is from RNAcentral.